ACCGGGUGACCGGAUGCCGAUCUCGAAAACCUGUCCCAGUUCGGACUGGAGUCUGCAACCCGACUCCACGAAGUUGGAUUCGCUAGUAAUCGCGCAUCAGCCAUGGCGCGGUGAAUACGUUCCCGGGCCUUGUACACACCGCCCGUCAAGCCAUGGGAGCCGGGGGCGCCUGAAGUCCGGGACCGCGAGGACCGGCCUAAGGCGAAACUGGUGACUGGGGCUAAGUCGUAACAAGGUAAC
Molecule: ribosomal RNA, 240 nt
Filed under: uncultured bacterium
Lineage: Bacteria
Description: partial 16S ribosomal RNA
Rfam family: Bacterial small subunit ribosomal RNA
Source: RNAcentral